AUGAUCCAAACAAAGCUCACACACUUACUAGUCACUACCUCACUCAAACGCACCAAAUCAUUUUUUCUCCUACGAAAGUUCCAACCACUUCCCAUAGCUUCCUUCUUUGACCAUAACACUAUCCCAAUCCCAAAACCCCCUUUCACCUUACAAUCCCUAACACUCUCAUUUUCCCAUUUGGUCUUUCUCUCUUUCUAUUUGGUUUCACAACCUAAUCCUCGAAUCCUCGUACCCAGAGUGAAAGUUUCCGUUUUUGGUGCUGGGUAA
This is a non-coding RNA of Vicia faba (fava bean), 267 nucleotides long. Lineage: Eukaryota; Viridiplantae; Streptophyta; Magnoliopsida; Fabales; Fabaceae. The record is from the annotation of a GenBank genome assembly.